AAGCUACUGGCACCGAUACCAUCAGCCCUCCAGAAGCUACUGGCACCGAUACCAUCAGACCUCCAGAAGCUACUGGCACCGAUACCACCAAACCUCCAGAAGCUACUGGCACCGAUACCAUCAGAGCCCCAGAAGCUAUUGGCACCGAUACCAUCAGACCUCCAGAAGCUACUGGCACCGAUACCACCAGACCUCCAGAAGCUACUGGCACCGAUACAACAGGCUCAUCAGAAGCCACAAGACCCCAGGGCCAGAAGGCCAAAAAAAGACACAGAAAUCUAGUCCAACAGAGGGGAGCCAGCAAGAUGAAGCAAAAAAAAAAGUAUGAGUGUCCAGAAUGCUGUAGGAGAGCCAGGGAAAACAACUUUGACUACUCCAAGAUUUUGAAAAGAAGAGUGAGAGAGGGAACAGAUGAGGUCCUCAUUCAUUGGGUUCCAUGCAAGACCUGUGGGACCAAAUGGAAAGACUCCUGGGAGCCCGCCUCCCUUCUUGAAGAAUGAAUUUUAAAACUUUUAAAUUAAUUUUAAAAUAAGUUGGUAGUAUGAUGAUUUAUUAAACAGGUUUGAAUUUUUAAAAACAUCCAUGUGAAAACUACAAACAUAAACAGAGUUAUUUGCUUGUUCUUCAUUGCCUAAAAUGUGCUAUAUAGAUAGAGAUCUUUAGAAAUAACCUGAAUAAAAAUCGUGUUAAAUGUUAAUUUUGUAUGCAUCAUUAUUGGACAUGUUAUGUCAAUUAUCUGGUCUUUCAUUCUCUCUUUACAUAUUUAAUGUUGCAUGUGUUGCAUUUAAAACUUGAAUAUGUUACUGCUUAAUAUGAAAUUGAUUCCAUCUGCAAGGAAGAGCAAUUUAGCUGUCCUGCCUGCACCCCAGCAAACAUUACGGUUUAAAGUGUAUUGCAAGGUCAUGCAUUUGUUGUGUGGAUUGGUUGGCAGCCAGAGAUAAUUCCCACAGAUCCAGCAAUAAGGUGGAUGAGGAGGGACUGGAGUUGACAUUCUGCAGGCAUAUUGUGUCGCUGGCUUCCCUUAAUAUGUUUUGGGGCAAAUCAUUUUUGUGUACCUCAUGUUUUUGCAGCUUCAGCUUGCUUCCAUGCAUGGCAUCACCCUUUAUUUGUAUGGACAUUGCCUGCAAAUACUGGCCAUACCUACAAAGACUUUGUUCUGACUGUCCAGAGCUCCAGCCCCUUCAGAACAUGAGGCCCUUCUUGUCAGUUGGACAUGCUAAAAGCCAUGACUUCAAAUAGAGGUUGGUGUUGUGCAGUACAUUAUCUAAUGGCUUGCAAUACUAAAAAUGAUCUUUAACUGUCAUUACACUGAAUAACUGAUAUCUACGUCUGUCAAAGAGGUUAUGUUUUUACCUGUGUUUGUGUAUUUGCAAGCAGGAUUACUUCUAACUUGGUGGAUGGGUGAGACAUGGUCCAGGAAGGAACCAAUUAUAUUUUGUGGCAGUUUGUAAUUUGAUUAGGCUUUUAUAUGAAUUUAAAAGUGAUGUAGUUGGAGACAUUUGCUUUACUGUAUGGAGGCCAUUACAAUGAUGCACCCAACUGAUUUAAUAUUGACAUAUAAUUACAUAUAAAUAGAAAGAGACCUGUUUCAAUUUCCAAGAAACAAAUGUUUUAUACAAACUGAAAAGGAUUGAAAGGAAUAACCUGUAUUAUGAAUAUAAAGUGAUCAGAUGACAUAUCAAAUAUUGGUUCAUACACUAAAAAUAAUUUUGCUUGUCAUUUUAGACUUCUAUACAGAUCUACUUUGGGACCUGAAAACCCUGAAAGCUGUCCUUCAACUGGAAAUGAGAGAAUGGGCAAAUGGUUUGGGUGACUUGACAGAGGAUGCUACAUAUGGGCUCAACAGUCUUCUCAGUCAGAGGUGUCACUCACCCAGAAGUCAACACAAAUGGGAUGUAGUCAAGUCAAGUCACCUUUAUUUAUAUAGCGCUUUUUACAAUGCAGAUUGUAUCAAAGCAGCUUUACAUUGAUAACUGGUACAUAAUUUUGGCUGCACAGCAGCUCUUAAAGAAUAGUGUCAAUGCAGGCAGAUCAGAAGCACUGUUGAAUAAAUGUCAAGAAUACUGUUGAAUGUCAAAUGUCAAGUCUCCAGAAUGUAAAUGCAAACAGCAGUAUAGCCACUUUUGAGGACUUGCAACUUGCCUUUAUAUUAAACAGCCUUUUUUAUGAAGUGAUUUACUGUAUAAGGGGCUUGUCAUUUCAAACCUAACUGUUGGAAAAUGGUGCACUUUGUUUUUUACACUUCAAACCAAAGCUAAUAAGUGUUUUCACCCAUAUCUUAGAGAUAAUCAAGACCAACAUA
This is a long non-coding RNA of Megalobrama amblycephala (Wuchang bream), 2302 nucleotides long. RefSeq lists it as uncharacterized. NCBI's taxonomy places the organism in Eukaryota, Metazoa, Chordata, Actinopteri, Cypriniformes, Xenocyprididae. The record is from RefSeq and is a predicted model, not a curated record. The transcript has 7 exons.